UACGGGGGGGGCAAGCGUUGUUCGGAAUUACUGGGCGUAAAGGGUUCGUAGGUGGCCAACUAAGUCAGACGUGAAAUCCCUCAGCUUAACUGGGGAACUGCGUCUGAUACUGGUUGGCUUGAGUGCAGGAGAGGAAUGCGGAAUUCCAGGUGUAGCGGUGAAAUGCGUAGAUAUCUGGAGGAACACCAAUAGCGAAGGCAGCUCGCUGGGACGUUACUGACACUGAGGCGCGAAAGCGUGGGGAGCGAACAGG
This 253-nucleotide ribosomal RNA is filed under the name uncultured bacterium. RNAcentral's name for it is "partial 16S ribosomal RNA". It matches the Rfam family "Bacterial small subunit ribosomal RNA", at positions 524 to 776 of the family's 1533-position model. The record is from RNAcentral.